RNAcentral lists this ribosomal RNA (253 nucleotides) under uncultured bacterium. Its description in RNAcentral is "partial 16S ribosomal RNA". It matches the Rfam family "Bacterial small subunit ribosomal RNA", at positions 524 to 776 of the family's 1533-position model. The record is from RNAcentral.
UACAGAGGUCUCAAGCGUUGUUCGGAUUCAUUGGGCGUAAAGGGUGCGUAGGCGGCGCGGUAAGUCGGGUGUGAAAUCUCGGAGCUUAACUCCGAAACUGCAUUCGAUACUGCCGUGCUUGAGGACUGGAGAGGAGACUGGAAUUUACGGUGUAGCGGUGAAAUGCGUAGAUAUCGUAAGGAAGACCAGUGGCGAAGGCAGCUUACUGGGCCGAAACUGACGCUGAGGAGCGAAAGCGUGGGGAGCAAACAGG